UACGGAGGGUGCAAGCGUUAUCCGGAUUCACUGGGUUUAAAGGGAGCGUAGGUGGACUUUUAAGUCAGUGGUGAAAUCUCUGGGCUUAACCCGGAAACUGCCAUUGAUACUAUUAGUCUUGAAUUCUCUGGAGGUAAGCGGAAUAUGUCAUGUAGCGGUGAAAUGCUUAGAUAUGACAUAGAACACCCAUUGCGAAGGCAGCUUACUACGGAGACAUUGACACUGAGGCUCGAAAGCGUGGGGAUCAAACAGGAUUAGAAACCCCCGUAGUCC
This 273-nucleotide ribosomal RNA is filed under the name uncultured bacterium. Its description in RNAcentral is "partial 16S ribosomal RNA". It matches the Rfam family "Bacterial small subunit ribosomal RNA", at positions 524 to 796 of the family's 1533-position model. The record is from RNAcentral.